UAGCUAGUUGGUAGGGUAAAGGCCUACCAAGGCGACGAUCGGUAGCUGGUCUGAGAGGAUGGCCAGCCACACUGGGACUGAGACACGGCCCAGACUCCUACGGGAGGCAGCAGUGGGGAAUAUUGGACAAUGGGGGCAACCCUGAUCCAGCAAUGCCGCGUGUGUGAAGAAGGCCUGAGGGUUGUAAAGCACUUUCAGUGGGGAGGAGGAUUGAUUGGUUAAGAGCUGAUUGAUUGGACGUUACCUACAGAAGAAGCACCGGCUAACUCCGUGCCAGCAGCCGCGGUAAUACGGAGGGUGCGAGCGUUAAUCGGAAUUACUGGGCGUAAAGGGUGCGUAGGUGGUUAGAUAAGUUAGCUGUGAAAUCCCCGGGCUCAACCUGGGCAGGUCAGCUAAGACUGUUUGACUCGAGUAUGGGAGAGGGUAGUGGAAUUUCCGGUGUAGCGGUGAAAUGCGUAGAGAUCGGAAGGAACACCAGUGGCGAAGGCGGCUACCUGGCCUAAUACUGACACUGAGGCACGAAAGCGUGGGGAGCAAACAGGAUUAGACACCCUGGUAGUCCACGCCGUAAACGAUGUCAACUAGUUGUUGGCCUUAUGAAUGAGGUUAGUGACGA
This 616-nucleotide ribosomal RNA is filed under the name uncultured Legionella sp. RNAcentral's name for it is "bacterial SSU rRNA". It matches the Rfam family "Bacterial small subunit ribosomal RNA", at positions 242 to 849 of the family's 1533-position model. The record is from RNAcentral. Lineage: Bacteria; Pseudomonadati; Pseudomonadota; Gammaproteobacteria; Legionellales; Legionellaceae.